UUAAGCAUAUCAAUAAGCGGAGGAAAAGAAACUAACAAGGAUUCCCCUAGUAACGGCGAGUGAAGCGGGAAGAGCUCAAAUUUAAAAUCUGGCGGUCACCCGUCCGAGUUGUAGUCUAGAGAAGCAUCAUCUACGCUGGACCAUGUACAAGUCUCUUGGAACAGAGCGUCAUAGAGGGUGAGAAUCCCGUCCUUGACAUGGACUCCCAGUGUUCUGUGUUGUGCUCUCAACGAGUCGAGUUGUUUGGGAAUGCAGCUCAAAAUGGGUGGUAAAUUCCAUCUAAAGCUAAAUAUUGGCGAGAGACCGAUAGCGAACAAGUACCGUGAGGGAAAGAUGAAAAGCACUUUGGAGAGAGAGUUAAACAGUACGUGAAAUUGUUGAAAUGGAAACGCUUGAAGUCAGUCGCGUUCUCUGGGAUUCAGCCUUGCUUUUGCUUGGUGCAUUUCCUAGUCUACGGGCCAGCAUGGAUUUUGACCGUCGGAAAAGGGCUGGGGGAAUGUGGCACUUUCGGGUGUGUUAUAGCCCCCUGUCGCACACGUCGGUUGGGAUCGAGGACCUCAGUGCACGCUUCGGUUGUGCUUUGAUGCUGGCGUAAUGGCUUUAAACGACCCGUCUUGAAACACGGACCAAGGAGUCUAACAUGUCUGCGAGUGUUUGGGUGAAAAACUCGGACGCGCAAUGAAAGUGAUAGUUGGGAACCUUUCACGAGGGGCACCGACGCCCGGACCAGACCUUCUGUGACGGAUCCGAGGUAGAGCAUAUAUGUUGGGACCCGAAAGAUGGUGAACUAUGCCUGCAUAGGGUGAAGCCAGAGGAAACUCUGGUGGAGGCUCGUAGCGAUUCUGACGUGCAAAUCGAUCGUCAAAUGUGGGUAUAGGGGCGAAAGACUAAUCGAACCAUCUAGUAGCUGGUCUGCA
RNAcentral lists this ribosomal RNA (917 nucleotides) under Rhizoctonia quercus. RNAcentral describes it as "LSU rRNA". It matches the Rfam family "Eukaryotic large subunit ribosomal RNA", at positions 34 to 960 of the family's 3401-position model. The record is from RNAcentral. Lineage: Eukaryota; Fungi; Basidiomycota; Agaricomycetes; Cantharellales; Ceratobasidiaceae.